GUUGUGGCGCCAGCUGCAUCGCAGGGUAGCUAUGUUCGGUUUGGAUAAGCGCUGAAAGCAUCUAAGCGCGAAGCCAGCUCUGAGAUGAGUAUUCCAUUACCGUCUCUGACGGUUAAAAGGGUCGUGGUAGAUGACCACGUUGAUAGGCUACAGGUCGAAGUGCAGUGAUGUAUGCAGCCGAGUAGUACUAAUAACCCGAAUGCUUCCUUUUU
RNAcentral lists this ribosomal RNA (212 nucleotides) under Saprospiraceae bacterium. RNAcentral describes it as "partial 23S ribosomal RNA". It matches the Rfam family "Bacterial large subunit ribosomal RNA", at positions 2720 to 2925 of the family's 2925-position model. Lineage: Bacteria; Pseudomonadati; Bacteroidota; Saprospiria; Saprospirales; Saprospiraceae. The record is from RNAcentral.